Zalophus californianus (California sea lion) is the source of this 1742-nucleotide long non-coding RNA. The record is from Ensembl. Lineage: Eukaryota; Metazoa; Chordata; Mammalia; Carnivora; Otariidae.
AUAAGAACUAAAAAGUGACCCUUGAACUUGGUCACAUGGCUGUCACCUGUAGCCUUAAGAGGAGCACUUUCAGUGUACUAGUAGGGAGUUUAAUUUAGCCUGUAUUGAAGGAUGAAUUGAAGUACAGAUGAGCGCUAGGCAGGGGCUCACGGGCAAGUUGUUUUUUGUUUUGUUUUGUUUUUGUUUAAGUUUGGAGGCGUUGGAAUUGGAACAUGAUCAUGGUAUGUCCAACACAGAAGUGGCCAGGAAAUUUGUGAAUGACGACACAGUUUCUAAAACGCCAGAUGUAAAGAGUCCUGCUGGCGUCACAAUGCCUCAACUAUGCUUUUACCCUUUCAGCCAUUUCUAGGGCGGGGGCCCUUCCACAUAAAGUGCAGGCUAAAAGUGGAGGACAAUCACCCCUCCAUCAGAUCUGUGAGUCACGUUUGCGACAGCAAGGAGUAGCGAUGGGACUACUUGAAUUAAAUGAAGUGCCCAGUUUCUCGUGCAUCUUGGAAUUUAGUGACCGGGUGGCUCCAUGCUGGAGGGAGCUAGGGAGACUCAUUCACAUUUUCCGACCCGCCACCCACACCCUCCAUUCAUCAUUUUUCCUUUCCUUUUUCCCUAACAGAGUUGAAACCAGGGACAAAGCUUUCUUCCUUCUCCCACCUCAGGUUGACCUUCCGCCCCCAAGCCCACCGCUGGCCUUUCUCCGACCACGUGACCCCCCUCAGCCCCCGUGACUCGCCGCCUCCGACCCCUCCCCUCCGGCUACAGCCGCUUUACUCCGCCCCUCCAUCCCACGUGACAGCCUCUUUCCUACCUCACUGGCUCCUCCCUUUCCCCCGGGCCGGACCCGGCCGCCGUCUCAGCUGCCCGACUCCAAAAUGGCAGCCGCGCACAGCGCGCACCCGAGCGGCCGGACCUCCCCGACUCCCGGACCACCCCCUUCUCGCUCCCUGCCUCCUUCCUUCGGCCUUCACCUACACGCCUCCGGAUUGGCCGCUAGGAAUCCCGCCCCUCCAGAGCCCCGCCUGCUAUUGGUCACGGUAGGCUGCCCUUCAGAGAGGCGUGCCCCCGCCGCCCCCCGCCCCGGGAGGUAUUUUCCAUUCCGGUGGGGGUUGGGGGGAGGGGGGGAGGGGAAAGGGGAAAGGGGGGAGGCAGCCGGGGAAGGGGGUGGGGGCCUGGCGGGGGCAUCCGGCAGAGCUGGGGUCCCCAGGCUCCGUCCAGAGGAAACGGGACUGCGCUCGAUCGGGCAGUCGGAGGGGACGGGACGGGACUGGCGGGCGAGCGGGAGGACUCGCCCUCUCAGUGACUGCGCCGUCCGGGCCCGUCCGCCUGGCCGCAGGUGCCCGUGGAUGAGGCCGCCCCGCGCGCCCCGACCGCAUCCUUGAAGGCAGUUUGGAUGGCAGUUAAACUCAACAGAUAAAAUGCCCAAGAACGCACAAAACUCUUACCAAAGAGCUACGGCCGAGUUUAUGCUCACACCCAGUGACACCAAUGUGGGACUGUCAUCUGAGAAGCAGUGAUCCUAAGACCCUUGGCUGUAAGCACAGCUGGGUCUCAGGGCUGUGAAGACGUGAAGGAAAAAAGAAAAAAAGAACAAUGUAUGUCUUCCAGAGCCUGGAGGAGAGAGGAAUGGGGAAUGGCUGCUCAGCGUGCGUGGGGCUUCCUUCCGGGGUGAUGAAAAUGUUCCAGCACUAGACAAUGUGGAUGGCUGCACACAUUGUGGAUGUAUUAAAUGCUGCUGGAUUGUACACUUG